GUGUCAGCAGCCGCGGUAAUACAGAGGGUGCAAGCGUUGUUCGGAAUUAUUGGGCGUAAAGGGAGUGUAGGCGGUUGAGAAAGUCUUCUGUGAAAUCUACGGGCUUAGCCUGUAACGUGCAGAGGAAACUGCUCGGCUUGAGUGUCGGAGAGGAUAGGGGAAUUCCCGGUGUAGAGGUGAAAUUCGUAGAGAUCGGGAGGAACACCAGUGGCGAAGGCGCCUAUCUGGCUGACAACUGACGCUGAGACUCGAAAGCAUGGGGAGCAAACAGGAUUAGAUACCCUGGUAGUCC
This 292-nucleotide ribosomal RNA is filed under the name uncultured bacterium. RNAcentral's name for it is "partial 16S ribosomal RNA". It matches the Rfam family "Bacterial small subunit ribosomal RNA", at positions 505 to 796 of the family's 1533-position model. The record is from RNAcentral.